RNAcentral lists this long non-coding RNA (1074 nucleotides) under Ficedula albicollis (Collared flycatcher). RNAcentral describes it as "lncRNA (ENSFALG00000029071.1)". Lineage: Eukaryota; Metazoa; Chordata; Aves; Passeriformes; Muscicapidae. The record is from RNAcentral.
GUUAACAAUUUAGUUACUGCAUAUAGCAAACAGCAGUUAAAAAUACUUCAGGUAUGUAAUUUCUUCUUUCAGCUUUACAUAGUUUUCCUAACACAUGACUGUUGAAAGAGAUUUUUAUGAGUGGUUUUUUUUUUUCCAGUUGCUUUGCUGUACGACUUCACCUUUGAAUUCUUCAAGCUGACAGAAGCUUCGGUAGCUCAGUGUAACAGAAGCUCCUGCUGUUAGUCCCACUACAGCAUCUUAAUUGCAAACCAGAGAUGAUAGCUCAUGUUCAAAGAGCACAGACAGAGGUAGGACUAGUGAUCUACCUGAGCUCUGUUACAGUGUGAAGUCUGGGAAUGCUGCAGGCUAACAGAGAGAGAACAAAAAUUUAAAAUGGUGUAUCAAGAGUGCUCCCCAAACCAAGGGAGGGGCGUACAGCUUCCUCAACUGUGAAAACUGUACACUCUAUCUAUCCUCAGGCACAGCACCACAGCAAGAUGUGCCCAUGUGUGAAAGUUCCUGAUGUUCCUGAAGUCACUGGUGGGUUUUUCUCCUUCCUUUUCUGUGGGUAGGGGAAUAAGUGUGUAAGAUGCCUCCUACACCUAGUAGAUGACAAUGAAAACCCAUGCUUUAAAAACAUAAACACAUAAGUUAUCGUGUUAAAGGUGACACAGUCUAAGAAAUGUACCUUGCAGCUACAGCAGCAAGGGGUGAAGAAUGAAGAUGGAGGAUGGCAAUAUGUGUUCCUAGAGCAGCUUGUUAGAUCUCAGAAGGAGGAGCAAGGGAAGCUCUGCCUGCCACACAGAUAUGAACUGCACCUUACUGAUAAUGGUGAACCUUGAGCCUGUGCUGUCCAACCAGCUCACCCUGAAACUGCAAAGAGAAAUGGGAAGGAGGUAGAGACAGAUUUGGGUCUUCAUGGAGACAGAUUAGAGUCCUGUGAGUCUUCACAGGUGAGUCCUCCUGCAGCAAGGAUGGUCCCUGUUAAGCACUGAGGUUUUUUAUUUUUCUACUUUACUUUGGUAAAUAGGUCCCCAUGCCCUGCUGCUUCCCUCAGGCAAAUGGUGCCAUGCAUUGGUCAGCAGAAUUGAA